CGCUGCGCGGCACAGAGGCAGCCUGCACCUAGGAGGGGCUUUGCGGAGGGGCACAGAGGGCUCGGGAAUCCUGAGCUCCCCAACUUAGGAGCUGAUCAGCAGCUGCUGGGGCCACACCACCGCCUCUUCACUGCCAUCACAGACAGACACGGGCAGUGUCACAAACUGGGCAUCGUCGGCGUCUGACUGCAGAAGCUGCGUGGGGGGACCUCGAAGUGAGUCUAUCUGCUCAGACAGCCCUGAAAGCCUGGAAGCAGAUCCCGGGCUUAGCACUCGGGCCAGCUGUCGAUGUGGGACUUUCCUGGGAACCACCGCACUGAAGACAGGGUCUCAUAUGUAUCCCAGGCUGACCUUGAACUUGCUAAGUAGAGGAUUUUGAAUUACUAAAUUCUCCUGCUUCUACCUGGUGCUGGGACAAAGAAUGUAUUACCAUGCCGGGUUACUGAAGAUGGAUCCCAGGGUCUCAUGAAUGCCGGGAGAGCACUCUACCAACUGAGCUCAAGCUCCAGAAAUUAUACUAUAUAUGUUGUCACUGAGACACCCCAGGAGGCUUAUCAAAUUUGCUCUCUGUGUGAAUAGCAAGAAGACAGUCAUCUGCAUGACAGGAAAGUCCCCUAUCCUAAAACCAGUGUGUCAGCCUUGGUCCCAGACUCUAAUAAAA
Microtus oregoni (creeping vole) is the source of this 661-nucleotide long non-coding RNA. RefSeq lists it as uncharacterized. The transcript is spliced from 4 exons. The record is from RefSeq and is a predicted model, not a curated record. NCBI's taxonomy places the organism in Eukaryota, Metazoa, Chordata, Mammalia, Rodentia, Cricetidae.